This 422-nucleotide long non-coding RNA is filed under the name Elaeis guineensis (African oil palm). RNAcentral describes it as "long non-coding RNA (EGUI_LNC059195)". Lineage: Eukaryota; Viridiplantae; Streptophyta; Magnoliopsida; Arecales; Arecaceae. The record is from RNAcentral.
UCACUAUAUUCGUUAGAAGUUAGGGCCAAAUCUUGCUGGAAACAAUGUAUCUCUCUACCAUUCUUAGUCCAUAGACAAUUAAUUUCAGCCGGCAAUCAUUGAAUUUUUUUGAAAAACUUAGUAUCUAAAAUUUCUCUAUCUUUUAUUAUUUUAUUGAUCUUUUCCGACAUCAUCUUUGCCAUCAAUCACCAGAUCGGAGUCCCUUGAUCGCACCACCAUAGUCUACUUUUCCAUCCAUGGGUGCCACCAACUGGGGACCUUCCCUUGCUUCGAAAUAAGAGGGGUGAUGGAUCCACUGUUUCGAGAAAGAAGAGAGGAAGAAAAAGGAAGAAAGAAAAGGAAAGAAAAAAGAAAAAGAGAAAAGAGAAAAAGAAAAAGAAGAAAAAAAAGAAAAGAAGGAUUUCAUAAGAUUCUUGAUUAAU